CAGCGUGUAGCUCAGUGGCAGAGCACUGGUUUUGGGAGCCAGGGGUCGAGAUUUCAAAAUUCUCCAUGCUGACCA
RNAcentral lists this transfer RNA (75 nucleotides) under Klebsiella phage KP13-26. RNAcentral's name for it is "tRNA-Pro". It matches the Rfam family "tRNA". From Rfam's summary of the family: Transfer RNA (tRNA) molecules are approximately 80 nucleotides in length. Lineage: Duplodnaviria; Heunggongvirae; Uroviricota; Caudoviricetes. The record is from RNAcentral.